GGCCUCUUCGUCUAGUGGUUAGGACACCAGGUUUUCAUCCUGGUAACAGGAGUUCGAUUCUCCUAGAGGCUACCA
RNAcentral lists this transfer RNA (75 nucleotides) under Patescibacteria group bacterium. Its description in RNAcentral is "tRNA-Glu". It matches the Rfam family "tRNA". From Rfam's summary of the family: Transfer RNA (tRNA) molecules are approximately 80 nucleotides in length. Their secondary structure includes four short double-helical elements and three loops (D, anti-codon, and T loops). Further hydrogen bonds mediate the characteristic L-shaped molecular structure. tRNAs have two regions of fundamental functional importance: the anti-codon, which is responsible for specific mRNA codon recognition, and the 3' end, to which the tRNAs corresponding amino acid is attached (by aminoacyl-tRNA synthetases). tRNAs cope with the degeneracy of the genetic code in two manners: having more than one tRNA (with a specific anti-codon) for a particular amino acid; and 'wobble' base-pairing, i.e. permitting non-standard base-pairing at the 3rd anti-codon position. The record is from RNAcentral.